This 659-nucleotide long non-coding RNA is filed under the name Capra hircus (goat). RNAcentral's name for it is "lncRNA (ENSCHIG00010001247.1)". The record is from RNAcentral. Lineage: Eukaryota; Metazoa; Chordata; Mammalia; Artiodactyla; Bovidae.
CUAGGGAAGCCCACACAUAAAAUGGAUAACAGCAAAGUUCUAUUAUACAGCAUAGGGGAACUACAUUCAAUAUCCAAUAUUGAAAAGAAUAUGAAAAAGAAUAUAUAUGCAUAACUGAGUCAGUGUGCUGUACAGCAGAAAUUAAUACAAUACUAUAAAUCAACUAUAUUUGAAAAACAUUAAAAAAAGUAUUUUCUCCAAGGUAAAAAUGAAAACAAUCUAAGGUGGGAAGCAUAGGAACCAGCCUCACUGGCAUAGCUAGGAAUUCUGUGGACAGUUCCUGCCAGUUGGGAAAAUCAUCUCCAGAGAAACUGACCUCUCUAGGCGUGUGAAAAUCAGAACAUCAGCCUUGAGUUAUCUCUUGUCUGAGUGAACACCACCGUUCUCAAUGUGCAACUGAUUUAGAUUCUUCUCUUUUNNNNNNNNCAACAUAAGUCAUGAAACUGCUUUUACAAGUUUAGCGUAAUCUGACUUCAAUAAUCUAGAACCCAGAAAUCACCAGAAUAUUUUGUUUUUACAACGUAAUAUUAUGUUUUUACUUUUCAGAGGAUACAUCACAGAAUGAGGCCAUAUCAACGAUUCCUGUAUCACACGUGCCUUCAGAGGCUUUAUGAGCUCUGCAAUACCUGUAGGAAACCACCAGUGAACAGACAGACUAC